Molecule: transfer RNA, 72 nt
Filed under: Camelus bactrianus (Bactrian camel)
Lineage: Eukaryota; Metazoa; Chordata; Mammalia; Artiodactyla; Camelidae
Also listed under: 2 other names
Rfam family: tRNA
About the family: Transfer RNA (tRNA) molecules are approximately 80 nucleotides in length. Their secondary structure includes four short double-helical elements and three loops (D, anti-codon, and T loops). Further hydrogen bonds mediate the characteristic L-shaped molecular structure. tRNAs have two regions of fundamental functional importance: the anti-codon, which is responsible for specific mRNA codon recognition, and the 3' end, to which the tRNAs corresponding amino acid is attached (by aminoacyl-tRNA synthetases). tRNAs cope with the degeneracy of the genetic code in two manners: having more than one tRNA (with a specific anti-codon) for a particular amino acid; and 'wobble' base-pairing, i.e. permitting non-standard base-pairing at the 3rd anti-codon position.
Source: Rfam by way of RNAcentral
GGGGGUAUAGCCCAAUGGUAAAGCACAUGCUUAGCAUGCAUGAAGUUCUGGGUUCAAUCCACAGUACUUCCA